GGCAAAAGCUCAAAUUUGAAAUCUAACACUUUCAGUGUUCGAGUUGUAAUUUGAAGAAAGUUUCUCUGAGUAGUCCUUUAUCUAUGUUCCUUGGAACAGGACGUCAUAGAGGGUGAGAAUCCCGUAUGAUUUUGGAUACUAUUCUUUGUGAGAUUCUUUCGAAGAGUCGAGUUGUUUGGGAAUGCAGCUCUAAGUGGGUGGUAAAUUCCAUCUAAAGCUAAAUAUUGGCGAGAGACCGAUAGCGAACAAGUACAGUGAUGGAAAGAUGAAAAGAACUCUGAAGAGAGAGUGAAAAAGUACGUAAAUUGCUGAAAGGGAAGGGCUUUAGGUCAGACUUGGUGUUUAAUGAUUAUCUUCUCUUUUUGAGUUGUGCACUCGUUUUUCACUGGGCCAAUAUCAGUUUUUGUGGUAGAGCACCUAUUGGAAUGUGGCUUAUCUUCGGAUAAGUGUUAUAGCCUUUAGACGAUCUAUUUACGGGGACUGAGGACUGCGCAUUAUGCUAGGAUAUUGGCGUAAUGACCUUAAGCCGCCCGUCUUGA
This 539-nucleotide small RNA is filed under the name unidentified. RNAcentral's name for it is "eukaryotic LSU rRNA". It matches the Rfam family "Eukaryotic large subunit ribosomal RNA", at positions 100 to 657 of the family's 3401-position model. The record is from RNAcentral.